AGAAGGCUGAUCCUUAAAGCCGGGAAAACAAUGAGUGAGCACUUGUUAUUCAUUCCUCAAUUUCCUGCCUCAUUCAGAGCUGGGGACUCUGGUGGAGAUCUGUGUGGAUGCCAUCAGCAGUGGAGCGGUGCCUUGUUUGGAGAACGCAGUGACACGGCUGGCCCAGCAUGAGAACUCAGCGGCCAUGUAGAACGCAGCUGACCACUACAAGGAGUAGAUGACCCAGUAUCUCCACUGAGAGCCCAUCUUUGGUCUGUCUUGAAAGAGUUUACAAGUGAAAAACAUCUCAGUUAAUUUUGAGGAAGUGUAAGUAAACCCACUGGAUUUCAAUCUUCAAAUACAAGGAAAAUUUUUCAUUUCUUUAUCUUUACACACUUAAUCCACAUUAAACGAAUUCAAGAAAAGUCUCAAACUGUUCGACUACACAUAUGUCAUUCCUGGGGAAUUGAUUUUCUAUGCAUAUGUUUUCAUCAUAGCAACCCAAAUUAUCAGAGGAACUCUGCUUUCAGCCACAAUUCAAGUUUCUAUUGCUCAUUGUUGACUGUUGGAUCACUGUUCAUUAUACCAGAGCUGAAGGAACCAUGGAGUCAUGUCAUCCAAUCCCUUCAUUUUGCAGAUGAUGAUACAGAGCACCAAAAGGAAUUAAGGGACUUCUCACAAGUCACACAGAGAUUGAUCACCACAGAGAAAAAGGAGGAUUUCUUGAUGCAGAAUGAAGAGGCAUCUAUCAACUUUUGCCAGACUGAGCUAGAGCAGGUUUCAGAGCCCCUGAAGAAAAGUAUUUCAAGAGGAGCUUUCUCUGCUGCUAGGGCGCACAAACUCUAUCCACAACAGAAUCGAAGCUUGGUUAGAACUAUAUGCUAUCACCCAGGAAAGGA
Molecule: long non-coding RNA, 878 nt
Organism: Choloepus didactylus (southern two-toed sloth)
Lineage: Eukaryota; Metazoa; Chordata; Mammalia; Pilosa; Megalonychidae
Exons: 3
Source: RefSeq, a predicted model, not a curated record